GAUGAACGCUGGCGGCGUGCCUAAUACAUGCAAGUCGUACGAAGGAGCUUGCUCCUUAGUGGCGAACGGGUGAGUAAUACAUAAAUAAUCUGCCUCAAUGUCUGGGAUAACUAUUGGAAACGAUAGCUAAUACCGGAUAGCUUGUUAGAAGACAUCUUCUUUCAACUAAAGGAGCGUUCGCUCCGCUUUGAGAUGAGUUUAUGGCGCAUUAGUUAGUUGGCGGGGUAAUGGCCCACCAAGACGAUGAUACGUAGCCGAUCUGAGAGGAUGACCGGCCACACUGGGACUGAGACACGGCCCAGACUCCUACGGGAGGCAGCAGUAGGGAAUUUUCGGCAAUGGGCGCAAGCCUGACCGAGCAACGCCGCGUGAGUGAUGAAGGCCUUCGGGUUGUAAAGCUCUGUUGUUAGGGAAGAAUGAUCAGGAUAGGAAAUGAUCCUGAAGUGACGGUACCUAACCAGAAAGCCACGGCUAACUACGUG
Molecule: ribosomal RNA, 482 nt
Filed under: uncultured bacterium
Lineage: Bacteria
Description: bacterial SSU rRNA
Rfam family: Bacterial small subunit ribosomal RNA
Source: RNAcentral